Molecule: ribosomal RNA, 586 nt
Filed under: uncultured bacterium
Lineage: Bacteria
Description: bacterial SSU rRNA
Rfam family: Bacterial small subunit ribosomal RNA
Source: RNAcentral
CGGGGGAUAGCCAGGGGAAACCCUGAUUAAUACCGCAUGAUGUCGAAAGACCAAAGUGGGGGACCGUAAGGCCUCACACUCUGAGAUGAGCCUAUGUCGGAUUAGCUAGUUGGCGGGGUAACGGCCCACCAAGGCGACGAUCCGUAGCUGGUCUGAGAGGACGAUCAGCCACACCGGAACUGAGACACGGUCCGGACUCCUACGGGAGGCAGCAGUGGGGAAUAUUGGACAAUGGGCGAAAGCCUGAUCCAGCGACGCCGCGUGGGUGAAGAAGGCCUUCGGGUUGUAAAGCCCUUUAAGCCGGGACGAAAAAGCUGCACCUAACACGUGCGGCCUUGACGGUACCGGAAGAAUAAGCACCGGCUAACUCUGUGCCAGCAGCCGCGGUAAUACAGAGGGUGCGAGCGUUAAUCGGAUUUACUGGGCGUAAAGCGUGUGUAGGUGGCUUCCUAAGUCGGUUGUGAAAUCCCUGGGCUCAACCUGGGAAUUGCAGUCGAUACUGGGAAGCUCGAGUUCGGUAGAGGACGGCGGAAUUCCCGGUGUAGCGGUGAAAUGCGUAGAUAUCGGGAGGAACAUCGAUGGCGAA